This 1346-nucleotide long non-coding RNA is filed under the name Sinocyclocheilus grahami. Its description in RNAcentral is "lncRNA (ENSSGRG00000038429.1)". Lineage: Eukaryota; Metazoa; Chordata; Actinopteri; Cypriniformes; Cyprinidae. The record is from RNAcentral.
UAUUGUUUUCCCCUAAAAUAUAUUGUCUUCUUGAUCCUCACUCUUAUUCUGUUAGGUACCUUGAGAAUGAAUGGAGAAAAAGAAAAAGAGCGGGAGAGAGGAGAUGAAAAAGAAAGUGAUGAGACAGAGGAGGAUGCAGAGGGGGCAGCCUUAUUAUGGCAAGAGGGAUACCCUGAUGAUGACCUGGGCUUACCCAUCAUGCACUGGGAGGAUCUGAGUCUCCGUAUUGCCGAACUUGAGAAGCAACAAGAGGAGCGAAGACAGAGGGAAAAGGACUUAGACAGGUUGACAGUAGACUGGCCAGAAAUCAGAGGGCUGAGCAGUCACAGAGGAACCUAUGAGGACAUGGAGGACGAUUGCAACAGUCGUCUGACUGCUCUGACAACAAGGCUUCAGAGCCAGAUGAAUCUACAGCUUUGCUUCAUCAACAACAGUGAAAGUGAAGAGGAAGAAGAGGAAAUGGAGGCAAAGAACGAGGUGGCAAAACAGUCCAGUAAGAGUGGCAGCAAUCAGAGGUUAGAGAAAGAACAUGGUUCAAGCUCUGCAUCGACUAAGAAAACCAAAUCAAGAGGGUUCAAGAAUGAUGUCAGAGCUGCACUGAGUGUACUCAGACAUAAAUUGAGAUUGGAGCACAAACAGACUAUACCUCCCAGUGAGGCUGUCAGAGAAAGGAAGCACUAUGAACAAAAUGACUUGAAGAAUUUCAGCUUGAAGAAGUUGAAAGCGCUGAGGACCUCACUAAGCAAAGACAUUCAUGACCUCAGUUCAGAGCUGGUGGGUCGACUUCUCACAAGGGACCAGCUGAGAACAGAGCAAGACGCCAUGCUGCUGGAGGUACAAGAUGUGACAUCACUCUGAUGAGUCAAAAAAAAAGUAUUUCCACUAAGGAACAAAAUGAAGGGACCCUUCCUUUACAAGACUGUCCGUGAGCUGCCUGAACUAAUUGACUUUACUGUGAAAAGCUACAGCACUCCUUCAUCACUUGAAAAAGACUUUUUCAUUAUAGAAUUUUUCUUGACAUUUUUAAGGCACCGAUGAGGAUUUAAAACUGCAGUUUACACUCUUACAGUUGCAAGAUCUAACUGAUAAAGCAACAAAGCGGUAAAAGACAAUAUACAGUAUGUCAUGACAUGCUCUUUUGCUCAAUAUUACUCUAAUUUGCUUAGUGCCAAAGCCAAUUAUGCCAAGCCUCACAUGUUAAGACAUGGCUCAUUAAAUGCUAUGUGUGCGUACAUACAUUGCCAAGCAACUCAUAACUGGAUUGUUUGUGUCACUGUUUGUGAAAUACUUAAAUAUUAUUUUGUGGAAUAAAAGGGAAUUCAGUGUGAUUGUAUAUGUGUUCUGUU